AGAGUUUGAUCCUGGCUCAGGAUGAACGCUGGCGGCGCGCCUAAUACAUGCAAGUCGAACGGAGUGUGUUCUCGUAACGCACUCAGUGGCGAACGGGUGAGUAACGCGUAGGUGACCUACCCCGAAGAGGGGGAUAACAGCCCGAAAGGGCUGCUAAUACCCCAUGUGGUUCUGUGGGUUAGAGGCCGCAGAACUAAAGGCGUAAGCCGCUUCGGGAUGGGCCUGCGUCCCAUCAGCUAGUUGGUAGGGUAACGGCCUACCAAGGCGAUGACGGGUAGGGGGCCUGAGAGGGUGGCCCCCCACACUGGCACUGAAACACGGGCCAGACACCUACGGGUGGCAGCAGUAGGGAAUAUUGGGCAAUGGGCGAAAGCCUGACCCAGCGACGCCGCGUGCGCGAUGAAGGCCUUCGGGUUGUAAAGCGCUUUUGGAGGGGAUGAGGAAGGACAGUACCCUCCGAAUAAGCCUCGGCUAACUACGUGCCAGCAGCCGCGGUAAAACGUAGGAGGCGAGCGUUAUCCGGAUUUACUGGGCGUAAAGCGCGUGUAGGCGGUCCGGCAAGUUGGAUGUGAAAUCUCUCGGCUCAACCGGGAGAGGUCGUUCAAUACUGCUGGGCUAGAGAGCGGUAGAGGGGGGUGGAAUUCCGGGUGUAGCGGUGAAAUGCGUAGAUAUCCGGAGGAACACCAGUGGCGAAGGCGGCCCCCUGGACCGUCUCUGACGCUCAGACGCGAAAGCUAGGGGAGCAAACGGGAUUAGAGACCCCGGUAGUCCUAGCCGUAAACGAUGUGGACUUGGCGUUGGUGGGUUAAAAUCCAUCAGUGCCGAAGCUAACGCGAUAAGUCCACCGCCUGAGGACUACGGCCGCAAGGCUAAAACUCAAGGAAUUGACGG
Molecule: ribosomal RNA, 891 nt
Filed under: uncultured Chloroflexota bacterium
Lineage: Bacteria; Bacillati; Chloroflexota
Description: bacterial SSU rRNA
Rfam family: Bacterial small subunit ribosomal RNA
Source: RNAcentral